Long non-coding RNA from Lolium rigidum, 2622 nucleotides. RefSeq lists it as uncharacterized. The record is from RefSeq and is a predicted model, not a curated record. The transcript has 13 exons. NCBI's taxonomy places the organism in Eukaryota, Viridiplantae, Streptophyta, Magnoliopsida, Poales, Poaceae.
GAUGAAGGCCUCUGCAAGGGACAUCCAGCGCCCUCCUUCCCCAGCGAUCUCCUCAACAGGACAGUGCGCCGCAGCAUUGCCUGGGCGUCGUCUCCUCUGACCAGCUCGCCGUACAAUCCUUGGAGCCGCCAAUUAUAGUUCGUCAGUGAGCUGCAGAGAUCAGCGACACGUUCAAGGGUUCUGGAGCCGGUGUACCACAAGCAGUCAAGACAACGGAGAUGGCAACAUGCUGAUCAAUCGGCAAUCGUCCAAUCUGCAAUUCAACAACACUUUGGAGCCCAGCAUCCAGGUGGACCUCGUGUUCCGUUGAUUGGUAUAGCUCUACCAGGAUUUGUGCCUCAGCAACAACUUGUCCCCAACAAUUCUGAUAUGGCUUGGCAUUAAGGGAAGAGGAAUUGGAGCUGUACGAGGACAUGCCGUGGUGGUGCUAUCUCGGAAUCGGCGACAAUUAUCUCAGGUGAUUCCUCAGGUUCCCCUUCGUUCGAGCUGUGGCUUCCUAUUUCGGCAAAUGAGUCCAUGCCCUGUUUCUGGCAACAUGGCUUAGUCGUCCAUUUGUUUAGGAACAAGAGGUUUUUUUUCUGGUACUGGAAUGUUCUUUGGUGAUUUAGGUUAGACACCUGGUCUCCAUGAGUUACAUGUUUUCUUCUUUGCAUUUUCUAUAAUUUUCCUUCGCUUUUUAAAUCAUACAUCCUACAUGAUGUUUAGUUCAGGAUUAUGCUUCUGUUCAUUGCAUUCGUGGCUCAUUAUUGGCUAUUGGAGAACUGUUGAGGAAACUUAAAGUUCAGUUUGCUGUGAUAUUCCGUACAAGUUUUUUCACAAUAUGCAUAUACUGAUGCAAGCACGUUUUUUGUUCUCUUGGUGACACUGGAGUACUACCCUCUACUUGGAGCUUGCCUACCUCUUCUACAACUACCGCAGGAUAACAUCAACUCAGCUCAGCCGAAGUCCCUCGCCGACUGGCUACGGAGGCCUCUGACUACAUUGGUCCCAGGCUUAUUAGGGUAGGUUGACAUGGCUCGGCCUCCCGAGUAGCUCCACCCGAUUCACUGAAGUCCCUCCCGGGCCGACUACGUGUGCCUCUAGCUGCUUUGGUCCUCGGUGGUGCUUAUGCUGCUGUUGUGCAAGGGUCUAUGUAAUGUUGUUUCGGUUGCAAUAUUCAAUAGUCUACAUCAUUUAUAGGUGGAGCCGAAUACACUGAAGAAUGUGGAGCACCCCACAGGAAGCUUGAAAGGCUGCUGUAGACGGAAGAAAUAAUUUUGAGCCUGACUGGCUUUGUCAGUGUGUCGACGGAAAGGCCUAGAAGGUGCAAUUUUCAAGCCGCUCAUCAUGAGAUGCCUCCAGGGGCUUCCCAUGAGGCAUGCGUGGUGGAAUGCAUGGCUUCGCUGGAGGACUGGGAAGUGGUAUGCCUCGCAGAAUGGGCGGUGGUAUCCCUGGAGUUGGAGUUGUAACCUAGUGAAGAAACCUGAUGGCAAAGAUUUGGUGACCAUGUGGUCAUGGCGGACAACACUCGCAUUGGGAUCACCUCAAGAUCAGAGCUGCGCCACCUUUGCGGCAUUCUCUUGCACAAUGGAGGGGCUAAACAAGCAAUAGACAGUGAUGACACCUAGCAGGAGUGUGUUGGCCUUUGAGGCAGUUGUGAGAUGUCGAGGAGGAGUAGCAUUGCUGUCCAAAAAUUUGAGACAAGGUUGAGGUCUGCAAAGGACUAAGGCGCCGCUGAUGUUGAGGUCUCCGAGCCCCCAAGAACCAAGACGAGCCAGGAGAUAAGGUGGAGCCGAAUGCACUGAAGAAUGUGGAGCACCGCAGGAAGCUUGACAGGCUGCUGUAGACGGAAGAAAUAAGUUUGAGUGUGACUAGCUUUGUUGGUGUGCCGACGGAAAAGCGAUUUUGUAAUUUAAUUAUGAGAAGGCCUAGAAGGUGCAAUUUUCAAGCCGCUCAUCAGGAGAUGCCUCCAGGGGCUUCCCAUGAGGCAUGCGUGGUGGAAGGCAUGGCUUUGCUGGAGGACUGGGAGAUGGUAUGCCUCGCAGAAUGGGCGGUGAUAUGCCUGGAGCUGGAGUUGCUCCCGGUACUAUCGGUAUGGAUGUCAUCCUAUAUUGGUUAAGUGGCGUUGGAUCUGACCCGGAGGUCACAAUAGCCUCCGGAUUUGGCUGUCUGGCUCUGGUGGUGGUGGUGGUGCUGGGCUGCUUCCCUCGCCUCACACAAAGGUGGUAGGCCUGGCCGCCCCAUGACUUCGACUACCUCGACUAUCUCUUGGGCUCAUGCUGGUGCAUAAUGGCCGCAACCGUGGCAAUGGUGGGCCUUGUUACAUGGCUCGGUGUUAUAGGUGAGUCCUCAAGUUCCCAUUUUUCUCAUCUAUGUGCUCUGUGAUGACGCUGGGAAGUUUCAUUACAGCUGUCACUACACUUUGUUCUGGCCGUUGGGCAGAUGACCUACUGGUUAGGUUUAGUGGUACUAGUUACAAAGAUUUGGUUAUGGUACCAAAAGUGACAUUUUAGCACUUUUUUGUGAUGGUAAUAAUUAGGGUAUGCUUGCUCUCGAGUGUGUUCUCGCUUGUAUCCUGAAUUCCUAAUUGUAGUGCACAUACUAUAUUUGUGGUCAUCCAAAAAAAUUUGUUGGUUCUAUUUA